This 253-nucleotide ribosomal RNA is filed under the name uncultured bacterium. RNAcentral's name for it is "partial 16S ribosomal RNA". It matches the Rfam family "Bacterial small subunit ribosomal RNA", at positions 524 to 776 of the family's 1533-position model. The record is from RNAcentral.
UACGAAGGGUGCUAGCGUUGCUCGGAAUGACUGGGCGUAAAGGGCGCGUAGGCGGACGGCUUUGUCGGGCGUGAAAUUCCAGGGCUUAACCUUGGGGCUGCGUUCGAGACGGGUUGUCUUGAGUUCGGAAGAGGGUCGUGGAAUUCCCAGUGUAGAGGUGAAAUUCGUAGAUAUUGGGAAGAACACCGGUGGCGAAGGCGGCGACCUGGUCCGUGACUGACGCUGAGGCGCGAAAGCGUGGGGAGCAAACAGG